This is a non-coding RNA of Xylariales sp. PMI_506, 103 nucleotides long. Lineage: Eukaryota; Fungi; Ascomycota; Sordariomycetes; Xylariales. The record is from the annotation of a GenBank genome assembly.
GUCUCUGUGGCUCAGUUGGUUAGAGCGUCAGUCUCAUACUCCAAGUAUGACUCGAUAACUUCGGGACAUCUGAAAGUCGCCAGUUCGAUCCUGGCCAGGGACA